Molecule: long non-coding RNA, 970 nt
Filed under: Homo sapiens (human)
Lineage: Eukaryota; Metazoa; Chordata; Mammalia; Primates; Hominidae
Description: non-protein coding lnc-FAM84B-15:56
Source: RNAcentral
GAAGUUGCACUGACCUGGCCAGCCCUGCCACUUACCAGGUUGGAUUCUAGUGAACUUGAUGAGUCAAGACUAUUGCAAUUGGAAAUCUGUUCUCCUCUGCUGCUGCAUUCCCUGCUUAAUACUCAAGCCAGAAACCAGGAAGGCUGUGGCUUGCCUUUUCACUUCUUGUGUCCUGUUUAAGAAAUAUCUGCUAUCCCAAGCAUCUGGCAUCUUUCUUGACAUAUGUAGCAGUUGCUUUUUGACAGCUUGCUUCUUCAGUGAAUGAAUAAAUUAAUAAAGAGAAAUGUGAUGUUCAGUGAUCCAUUUUGCAGCAUUUAUUAAAUACUGGUGCAUAAUGAUGGAAUAAAUUUUAUACCGUAAGGAUAAACCAGUAUUCUGGACUAAGCCAACGUGGGAGACCCUAGGAGGCCUGUUUGAGAAAGUGACAUUUAAAUUGAGACUUGGCGGUGGCUGUGGCUACAUAUCUAAUUGCAAACUCCUAGAGAAGGGCUCAACAGUGAGUGCUGAGGCUGCACAGAGGAGGAAGGCAGCACAAUGAUGGAAGGCUUCCUAAAGAGAUAACACUAACAAAGUUGACCUUAGAAUUGGAGUGCCUGGGUUAGAACCCUGCUGGUACCACCUGCUUACUGCAUGCUUCUGAUGUGAGUUCAGGAGAAGACACUGGCAAGGACAGCAAAGAACAGGAGAACACUCUAGCUUCCCUGAUAGCAUUCAAGGUGCUGUCCAAACUGACUGUGAUGGCACCCUCCAGACAGACAGCGAUGCCACAUGUUCAAGAUGGCAGAAUCACUAUCAGCUUCAAUUCCUGAAUGACUGCAGAGCAAAAUUUCUUACCUGCAACAUACACUCUAUUUUCAGCCUCCCUGGACUGUUACAUAAUGAUACAUAAAAAUAUUUCUUGUGUUGAGGCAUCCCAAAUUUGAUUUAUUUGUCAUCACAGUCUAUCCUAUGAAUAUAUUUCUGAUCCAAA